This 69-nucleotide transfer RNA is filed under the name Ictidomys tridecemlineatus (thirteen-lined ground squirrel). RNAcentral describes it as "Spermophilus tridecemlineatus (thirteen-lined ground squirrel) tRNA". It matches the Rfam family "tRNA". Rfam says of the family: Transfer RNA (tRNA) molecules are approximately 80 nucleotides in length. Their secondary structure includes four short double-helical elements and three loops (D, anti-codon, and T loops). Lineage: Eukaryota; Metazoa; Chordata; Mammalia; Rodentia; Sciuridae. The record is from Rfam by way of RNAcentral.
GGGGAUAUAGCUCAGUUGGUAGAGUGCUUCGCAUGCACAAGAUCCUGGGUUCAAUCCCCAGCACUGCCA